Molecule: unclassified non-coding RNA, 970 nt
Filed under: Hevea brasiliensis (rubber tree)
Lineage: Eukaryota; Viridiplantae; Streptophyta; Magnoliopsida; Malpighiales; Euphorbiaceae
Source: RNAcentral
GCCAAGACAACUUCUAUGACCAAGUACUUAAUAAUUCAUACAAGAGAACCAAGAGAAGGCCAGUUUCACUUUCAGAUAACAAACACAACUUAAACCCAAGAAUAUACACAUAUGUCGACCAUUAUAUGAGAUUUCCAGAGUAUCGGCAUUGGUCAGUUUUAGGCUGCUUCUGCAAAGCCAACUCUUGAUUUUCCAUAGUCGAACACGGUGUGGUAGACUCCCAUGAAGACAUCUCCCAGUAUCCAUAGAGGACCACGUGGAGGAGCUACAUCCAAGGCUGUGAAUCCACUGAUACACUGUGCUGCAACGCCCUCGCCAAUUUUCAGAAUGUACUGCUCUGGUGUUAGGUCAAAUGUUUUACCACCAAUCGUAAAAGAUACACUGGGCAUUGAGGAAAGUGCAUUGCAGUCAACGGUUGAUUGUCCAUUGGGACUAGGCAGGCGAUCACAUAGCUCGUCGACAUAGUUCAUUAUUCGUUCCUGAGUCUGAUUCAGUGCAACCUGAUUCUGCAUCCAUACUACAGCCAUUUCACAAGCAACGCACAUACCGGUACUCCUACCAAUAGUUGAUUUGUCCUCAUUGUCAUCCACCACACUCUUUAUGCCAACACUAACUCCUCGAGAUCCAUCGAAUGUACACAGACCAGCCUGAGAACAAACUUUUGCCGGUUCUACCUGUGCCAACAACAUUGCAAGAAUCUUUUCUCCGUAUUGUGCAACUACUGCUUUGCACUGAUGGUUAACAACACCAGAACCUCCAAUUUUUUUAUUAAUUUCUGCUAUAAUGGUCGUUGGACCAGCAAUCAAAGACGUUCCAGAAUCUGCAAUGGCUGCACAACCUUUAGCGCAGAAUCCAGUUGUUUGGCCAUCGACAAGAACAUCUCCCAUAUUAAACUGCCAGUAACCUUUCUGAGUUACAGGGACAAAUGUGUGUUCACCCUUGAAGUGAUUUGGAUCAGCCCCUCCAAACA